UCAUAUGCUUGUCUCAAAGCUUAAGCCAUGCAAGUGUAAGUUCACGCCACGACUUAGAACGGGCGAAACCGCGAAUGGCUCAGGAACCGGACCUAAUCCUCGGGACCGUAAUCCUCCUCGUGGAGGCGAUGGAUAACUGUGGCAAUUCUAGAGCUAAUACAUGUGACACAAGCCGCGAUCGGUCGGCGCGUCGUCGUCGCCGUUGCCUUUGCGCUUCGGCACCCGCGUCGAUCGUUCCGGGUCGCGGCGCUACAUAUUAGACUGAGACCGAUGCGCGUUCUUCCGUCCUCCCGUUGGCGUUUUUCUCUUGCCCGUUUCGGCGGGUUUGCGUGCGCUGCGGGGCUACAAUGGGCGGCGCGCUCCGCUUUGGUGACUCUGGAUAACUCACUGGUCGAUCGCACCGGCUUUCAUGCCUGGCGACGGGUCUCUCGAGGGUCCGCCCUAUCAACUGUCGACGGUCGGUUAAGUGCCUACCGUGGUUACUACGGGUAACGGGGAAUCGGGGUUCGAUUCCGGAGAGGGAGCAUGCGAAACGGCUACCACAUCCAAGGAAGGCAGCAGGCGCGCAAAUUACCCACUCCCGGCACGGGGAGGUAGUGACGAAAAAUAACGACGCGGGACUCUGUCGAGGCCCCGCGAUCGGAAUGAGUACACUUCAAAUCCGUUAACGAGGACCAACCGGAGGGCAAGUCUGGUGCCAGCAGCCGCGGUAAUUCMAGCUCCGGUAGCGUAUAUUAAAGUUGUUGCGGUUAAAAAGCUCGUAGUCCGAACUCGGGUUCGUGGUCGCUCGCGCGGCCCCGGGGCGGCGGCGCCAUCGUCCGUCGUUGACUUUGGUCGUCCGUGCGCAUUCCCGGCCCUUUCCGCCGGUGUCGACUGCCAUGUACAUCCGCCUCGUGGUCAUGCCGGCGAAUAUCUAUUGCGAGGAGGAUGACGGUUUGGGGGGGGUUGCGUUCGGCCGGGUCGGGGGUUGGCGAUUCCGAGUCGAUGUCGGGGGAUCAAGGGAGGGGAAAAAAUUAGUUUUCGGACUUUUUUUUUUCYCUCCUCCUCCGUCCUCUCUUCUCGGCUCUCUCGCCUUCUUUUUCCCGUCUCCGGUUCGYUUCGUUUUCUCUCUUCCUCCGUUUACCACUCCGAGCAAUGUUUCGUCGUGCGCGCGAGUUUGCGGUCGGGCGGUUUCUCCUCCAAGGGUGCUCUUGACCGAGUGUCCGCGGCGGCCGGUACGUUCACUUUGAAAAAAUUAGAGUGCUCAGAGCGGGCUGUUCAAGCUUGCAUACGAUAAGCAUGGAAUGAUGGAAGAGGGCCUCGUCUACGUCUGUCGGUCUCCGUCUACGGCGAGGCAAUGAUCGAAGGGAGCGGUCGGGGCCACUCGUAUUGCGACGUUAGAGGUGAAAUUCUUGGAUCGUCGCAAGACGAACUGCAGCGAUGGCGUGUGGCAAGCACGUUUUCCUCGAUCAAGAGCGAAAGUCGGAGGUUCGAAGACGAUCAGAUACCGUCGUAGUUCCGACCGUAAACGAUGCCGACCGGCGAUCCGCCGGCGUUCGCUUCCAUGACCCGGCGGGUAGCCUGCGGGAAACCAGAGUUCGGUUCCGGGGGGAGUAUGGUUGCAAAGCUGAAACUUAAAGGAAUUGACGGAAGGGCACCACCAGGAGUGGAGCCUGCGGCUUAAUUUGACUCAACACGGGAAAACUCACCCGGUCCGGACACCGGUAGGAUUGACAGAUCGAUAGCUCUUUCUCGAUUCGGUGGGUGGUGGUGCAUGGCCGUUCUUAGUUGGUGGAGCGAUCCGUCUGGUUGAUUCCGAUAACGAACGAGACUCWGGCCUGCUAACUAGUGCGCCGAUGUGUAUGCGUUUUUUGCUACGGCGGGCUCGGGCCGUACGUGUUCGUCGCCGUUGUUUCGGUCGUGCGUUUGCGUUCGUCUUUUUUUGCUCGUGGCGGUCGGAGGGGUUGUGGGUGUGCGGGAGGUGGGGGGGGAGAGCGGGUCUUUUCUCGUCUUUCUUUUCCCCCCUUCUCUUCGUUGCAUUCGCGCUCUGUUCGGCGUCGGGCAGGGGCGGGCGUGGCGUCGUCGACAGCGUGCGGUCGUGCGUGCGGUUUCCGCCGGGUCCGGGUCGGUUUUCUCACGCACUUCUUAGAGGGACGGGUGGCAGAAAGCCACACGAGGCGGAGCGAUAACAGGUCUGUGAUGCCCUUAGAUGUCCGGGGCCGCACGCGCGCUACACUGGAGGUAUCAGCGGGGACUUCGCCCCGGCCCGAGAGGGCCGGGAAACCUCUCAACCACCUCCCGUGAUAGGGAUCGGGGCCUGUAACCAACCCCGUGAACGAGGAAUUCCCGGUAGGCGCGGGUCAACAGCCCGCGUCGAUCACGUCCCUGCCCUUUGUACACACCGCCCGUCGCUACUACCGAUCGAACGGUCCGGUGAGGUCCUCGGAUCUGGCCGACGACGCCGCCGGGCUGCCUGGCGGGUCUGGGGAGGGGGUUUUCCUCCUUCGUCCGCCGCUUGUGUCGCCUCGGCGUUCGACGCCUGGAGAAGACGACCGAACCCGAUCGUUUAGAGGAAGUAAAAGUCGUAACAAGGUUUCC
This 2577-nucleotide ribosomal RNA is filed under the name Sepioteuthis lessoniana. RNAcentral's name for it is "18S ribosomal RNA". It matches the Rfam family "Eukaryotic small subunit ribosomal RNA". Lineage: Eukaryota; Metazoa; Mollusca; Cephalopoda; Myopsida; Loliginidae. The record is from RNAcentral.